AAUAAGAUUUGUUAGGUGAGGCUCCUAUACAAACACAGGCUACUGCCCAAAAACGUCGAGAGACGCCAAUGGGUAGAACAGGAAUUGUCGACUUAAGGCUUUUCAUAAGGUAGCUAAAAGCAAAGUAAUUUGCUUUUUACGUUGUACAGUGUCAAAACUCAACGAUGAGAUCAUUGA
Molecule: regulatory RNA element, 177 nt
Organism: Enterococcus sp.
Lineage: Bacteria; Bacillati; Bacillota; Bacilli; Lactobacillales; Enterococcaceae
Rfam family: M-box riboswitch aptamer (ykoK leader)
About the family: M-box riboswitch, also know as ykoK leader is described as a metaloregulatory RNA that sense divalent metals and function as a genetic control element of genes related to divalent metal transport in bacteria. It was first reported upstream of the B.subtilis ykoK gene and genes with related functions in other bacteria. Phylogenetic analysis of the distribution of M-box RNAs across bacterial genomes revealed that M-box riboswitches are most often employed for the regulation of Mg2+ transporter genes
Source: Rfam